RNAcentral lists this ribosomal RNA (424 nucleotides) under uncultured bacterium. RNAcentral's name for it is "bacterial SSU rRNA". It matches the Rfam family "Bacterial small subunit ribosomal RNA", at positions 355 to 795 of the family's 1533-position model. The record is from RNAcentral.
UGGGGAAUAUUGGACAAUGGGGGCAACCCUGAUCCAGCCAUGCCGCGUGAGUGAAGAAGGCCUUCGGGUUGUAAAGCUCUUUCAGAUGCGAAGAUGAUGACGGUAACAUCAGAAGAAGCCCCGGCUAAUUUCGUGCCAGCAGCCGCGGUAAUACGAAAGGGGCUAGCGUUGUUCGGAUUUACUGGGCGUAAAGGGCACGCAGGCGGUCUUGCCAGUCAGGGGUGAAAGCCCGGGGCUCAACCCCGGAACUGCCUCUGAUACUGUAAGACUAGAGACUAGGAGAGGGUGGUGGAAUUCCCAGUGUAGAGGUGAAAUUCGUAGAUAUUGGGAGGAACACCAGAGGCGAAGGCGGCCACCUGGACUAGAUCUGACGCUCAGGUGCGAAAGCGUGGGGAGCAAACAGGAUUAGAUACCCCGCGUAGUC